RNAcentral lists this ribosomal RNA (857 nucleotides) under Steinernema carpocapsae. RNAcentral's name for it is "SSU rRNA". It matches the Rfam family "Eukaryotic small subunit ribosomal RNA", at positions 50 to 911 of the family's 1831-position model. The record is from RNAcentral. Lineage: Eukaryota; Metazoa; Nematoda; Chromadorea; Rhabditida; Steinernematidae.
CAUGCAUGUCUAAGUUUAAACGAAUCAAAGUGAAACCGCGAACGGCUCAUUACAACAGCGAUAAUUGACUAAACGAUGUUAAUCCUUUAAAUGGAUAACUGUGGUAAUUCUAGAGCUAAUACAUGGUUUGUAACAAAACGUUUAUCGGUUUGUUCAUUUAUUAGAUCAAAACCAAGCGACUCCGGUCGUUUAUGUUGGUGACUCUUAGUAACUUUGUUAAUCGCAUGGACUUGUUCCGGCGAUACGUUUAUCAAGUUUCUGCCCUAUCAACUUUUGAUGGUUGUGUAUUUGACAACCAUGGUGGUGACGGGUAACGGAGAAUUAGGGUUUGACUCCGGAGAGGGAGCCUGAGAAACGGCUACCACAUCCAAGGAAGGCAGCAGGCGCGAAAAUUACCCACUCUCAGUUCGAGGAGGUAGUGACGAAAAAUAACAAGACUGGUCGCUUUGCGAACAGUUAUUGGAAUGGGUACAAUUUAAACUCUUUAACGAGGACCUAUGAGAGGGCAAGUCUGGUGCCAGCAGCCGCGGUAAUUCCAGCUCUCAAAAUGUACUUAACCAUUGUUGCGGUUAAAAAGCUCGUAGUUGGAUCUUUGCGUCGUAGUAUGGUUCGUUCUUUGAACGCUACUAUGCUGUGAUGCUCUUAUUUGCAGGUUUUCGGCUAGUGUUCUUAACGGGAUGUUAGUUGUGGCUUGCGAGUUUACUUUGAAUUAAUUAGAGUGCUUAAAACAGGCGUUUUGCUUGAAUAUUCUAGCAUGGAAUAAUGGAAUAGGAUUUCGGUUCGAUUUUAUUGGUUUUAUGGAGCGAAAUAAUGAUUAGUAGGAAUAAACGGGGGCAUUCGUAUUGUUACGUUAGAGG